Molecule: ribosomal RNA, 506 nt
Filed under: uncultured bacterium
Lineage: Bacteria
Description: partial 16S ribosomal RNA
Rfam family: Bacterial small subunit ribosomal RNA
Source: RNAcentral
AGUGAACGCUUGCGGUAGGCCUAACACAUGCAAGUCGAACGGCAGCACAGGAGAGCUUGCUCUCUGGGUGGCGAGUGGCGGAAGGGUGAGGAAUACAUCGGAAUCUACUCUGUCGUGGGGGAUAACGUAGGGAAACUUACGCUAAUACCGCAUACGACCUACGGGGGAAAGCAGGGGACAUUCGGGCCUUGCGCGAUUGAAUGAGCCGAUGUCGGAGUAGCUAGUUGGCGGGGUAAAGGGCCACCAAGGGGACGUUCCGUAGCUGGUCUGAGAGGAUGAUCAGCCAAACUGGAACUAAGAGACGGUCCAGACUCCUACGGGAGGCAGCAGUGGGGAAUAUUGGACAAUGGGCGCAAGCGUGAUCCAGCCAUACCGCGUGGGUGAAGAAGGCCUUCGGGUUGUAAAGCCCUUUUGUUGGGAAAGAAAUCCAGCUGGCUAAUACCCGGUUGGGAUGACGGUACCCAAAGAAUAAGCACCGGCUAACUUCGUGCCAGCAGCCGCCGUAA